CUGGGCUUCCAGCUUCCAAGCCUUCUACCUGUGGAAUGCUUGGUCCAAUGUCUGGGGCACCCACUCUUACUCCAAACUCCUCCAGAUCUGCAGAGUGGCCCAGCAUAUUCUCUUCUUGAAAGGAGGUCUUUGCCUAACAGAAAUGGAAUAAAAAGGCCUACCUCAUUGGGCUCGUGUGGGUGAGGAGAACUGAAGAGUCUGAGAGCGCGGCACGAGCCAGAGGCUACGGAAAACACUGCCCUCCUACACUCCACCUUGGAGAGACCCAGAAAAGAACAAGCUUCAUUUGUAAAAAAGGAAAACAGCUCAUGGGGGUGGCUUAAAGGCACUCUACAGUGUGCAGAUGCCUUCUACUUCUUCCAUCUGCCCUGUCUUUCCAAGAACCCCUAUGGCCCCAGGCUCAGAACAGAGCUGAGUGCAGAAAUGAAAAUCUAUGGCUCUGUGUUCCAAAAUGAUGAAGAAUUUCAAGAUGGUGGCAGUGGUAAAAUCCUUCUCCAGGAAAAAUCUGUCCUUGGCCCAAUGUGUAAACACUUGCUGAGGAACUUGGAAUAACUUGCAGUGUCUUGCAGUAUUGUGAAACCAGCAACUUGUUCACAAUUCUUCUGAAUUUCUUGGGAAAUUUGAAGUGGAGUACCUGUACCAACAUGAAAUGACACGAAUUUAAGUGAAGCUCAACAACGAAAAGCAAAAAGAACCAAAGAGGAAGCAACUGAAACAACAUCUGGAUGUAUUUAAAAAUAUACAAUGCCUCCAAAAUCAGGUGUCAUUAAUGAAAAUUCUGAAGAAAUGCCACCGGACAUAGCCAACACACCUACGCUAUUGUUAUUCAUUUCCUGCUUUUCACAGAAAACAAUUUUGUUGCAUGGAAGAUUGUGAACUUCAAAGAGCAGAGGGGAAACUCUCCCUUGGCCCCUACCCCUCCAAGGCCCCACUUUUUCGUCAACACUCCUUGGACGCAGCAGAAGUAUGAACAUAAUAUGGUCCUGAAUGAGGCUGAGUCUUUGGGCGCAGAAGACCCGGGUUAAUAAAAAUAGGAAGGUAAGAAAAGAAAAGAAAAAUCAAGACACAUCAUAGGACUAAAUUCCUAUUAUUUAUCCACUCAGGAUUGACCACCCUUUUGGGCCAGAUAGUUGUACCCCCAUGUACCAGGUGGGCACAUGAAGACACAAGAAGUGCUGUGAUGGUUCAUUUUGCAUGUCACCUUGCGUGGAGUAUGC
This 1217-nucleotide long non-coding RNA is filed under the name Pan troglodytes (chimpanzee). Its description in RNAcentral is "lincRNA". The record is from RNAcentral. Lineage: Eukaryota; Metazoa; Chordata; Mammalia; Primates; Hominidae.